UCGUGCUAGACGGGGAGGUAGCGGUGCCCUGUACUCGCAAUCCGCUAUAGCGAGGUUGAAUCCCCGCUCGAGGGGUCUGUUCGUGAAGUCUGGCUCAGGCAAGUGGCGUUGACGAUCGGGUCUUACGCAACAGGAACCCAUGAACCCCGUCAGGUCCGGGAGGCAGCAGCGGUAAGUGGACCCUCCUGUGUGCCGUAAGGGUGCCUGGUCCGAGUUAACUGCUUGAGUAACGUUCGGGGGCAGGCUUCGACAGCGGGUGCACGA
RNAcentral lists this signal recognition particle RNA (264 nucleotides) under Bacillota bacterium. Its description in RNAcentral is "Firmicutes bacterium (anaerobic digester metagenome) signal recognition particle sRNA large type". It matches the Rfam family "Bacterial large signal recognition particle RNA". Rfam says of the family: The signal recognition particle (SRP) is a universally conserved ribonucleoprotein involved in the co-translational targeting of proteins to membranes. Archaeal SRP consists of a 7S RNA and homologues of the eukaryotic SRP19 and SRP54 proteins. Lineage: Bacteria; Bacillati; Bacillota. The record is from RNAcentral.